CACGUAGGGGGCGAGCGUUGUUCGGAUUUACUGGGCGUAAAGGGCGCGUAGGCGGCAUGACAAGUCACUUGUGAAAUCUCCGGGCUUAACUCGGAACGGCCAAGUGAUACUGUCAAGCUAGAGUGCAGAAAGGGCAAUCGGAAUUCUUGGUGUAGCGGUGAAAUGCGUAGAUAUCAAGAGGAACACCUGAGGCGAAGGCGGGUUGCUAGGCUGACACUGACGCUGACAGCGCGAAAGCCAGGGGAGCAAACGGG
This 254-nucleotide ribosomal RNA is filed under the name uncultured bacterium. RNAcentral's name for it is "partial 16S ribosomal RNA". It matches the Rfam family "Bacterial small subunit ribosomal RNA", at positions 524 to 776 of the family's 1533-position model. The record is from RNAcentral.